Long non-coding RNA from Poecilia latipinna (sailfin molly), 894 nucleotides. RefSeq lists it as uncharacterized. The record is from RefSeq and is a predicted model, not a curated record. Lineage: Eukaryota; Metazoa; Chordata; Actinopteri; Cyprinodontiformes; Poeciliidae. The transcript is spliced from 3 exons.
CCCCUCUCUGAACUGCUGAGUGAGCACUCAGAAGGGAGGGAAACAGCGACACAGAAGUCAGAAACUUGUGAAUGAGGAGCAACAAUGCAGGGACAGCACAAAGGAGACAGGAAAAGGAGAGGAUAGUGCAACCGGGCUAGAGGCAGGAAGUCAGAGUGAGGGAGAGACAGGAGUGGAGCAACAGGGAGUUCAGACUAGGGACACACAGCUGAGAGACUCUGAAGUCAGUGGACAGAGAACAGAACCAAAUCAGCCACAUCCAAAAUUCAUAGACCCUCAAGCUCUAGCCAACAGAACUUUACAUUUCCAAGGAAAGUGGUACAAGGAAUUUCCCUGGCUACAUUAUGAUGCAGUGAAAAAGGGCAUUUUGUGUUUUUAUUGCAUGGCAAUUUACCAGGACAAACUCACACCAUUUGGUGCAAAAUCCGAACCCGCCUUUAUCACUUCUGGAUUUAAAAAUUGGAAAAAAGCAUUCGAAAAAUUUAAAGCACAUGAAAAUAGUCACUCACAUCAUCAUGCUGUUUCUGUGACUGCACAAGAAAGUCAUCCUAUAAAUGCCCAAUUAUCCAGUGCUUUGGCAACUCAGCAAGGUGACAAUAGGCACUGUCUGGAGAAAAUUGUGAGCUCCAUAAAAUAUUUGGCACGCCAGGGACAAGCUUUGAGAGGGCAUGACGAUGAUGACAGCAAUUUGUAUCAACUGUUGAAAAAUCUGGCAGAAGAUGAUGCCCUUUUGGCUAAGUGGUUGCUGAGGUCUCAGAAAGAAUACCUAAGUCCACAGAUACAGAAUGAAAUCUUGUGUUCUAUGAGCAAUAGUAUUGUCAGUGAAAUAGCAGAUACAAUCAGAAACCUACCAAUUUUUGAGUUUGCAAUUAUUAUGGAUGGAACACAGGACAU